Molecule: ribosomal RNA, 492 nt
Filed under: uncultured bacterium
Lineage: Bacteria
Description: partial 16S ribosomal RNA
Rfam family: Bacterial small subunit ribosomal RNA
Source: RNAcentral
AGUGAACGCUGGCGGUAGGCCUAACACAUGCAAGUCGAACGGCAGCACAGUAAGAUCUUGCUCUUACGGGUGGCGAGUGGCGGACGGGUGAGGAAUACAUCGCAAUCUACUUUUUCGUGGGGGAUAACGUAGGGAAACUUACGCUAAUACCGCAUACGACCUACGGGUGAAAGCAGGGGAUCUUCGGACCUUGCGCGAUUGAAUGAGCCGAUGUCGGAUUAGCUAGUUGGCGGGGUAAAGGCCCACCAAGGCGACGAUCCGUAGCUGGUCUGAGAGGAUGAUCAGCCACACUGGAACUGAGACACGGUCCAGACUCCUACGGGAGGCAGCAGUGGGGAAUAUUGGACAAUGGGCGCAAGCCUGAUCCAGCCAUACCGCGUGGGUGAAGAAGGCCUUCGGGUUGUAAAGCCCUGUUGUUGGGAAAGAAAAGCAGCAGGUUAAUACCCCGCUGUUCUGACGGUACCCAAAGAAUAAGCACCGGCUAACUUCGUG